CCUACGGGAGGCAGCAGUGAGGAAUAUUGGUCAAUGGACGAGAGUCUGAACCAGCCAAGUAGCGUGAAGGAUGACUGCCCUAUGGGUUGUAAACUUCUUUUAUAUGGGAAUAAAAUGUUCCAAGUGUGGGAUUUUGUAUGUACCAUAUGAAUAAGGAUCGGCUAACUCCGUGCCAGCAGCCGCGGUAAUACGGAGGAGCCGAGCGUUAUCCGGAUUUAUUGGGUUUAAAGGGAGCGUAGGUGGAUUGGUAAGUCAGUUGUGAAAGUUUGCGGCUCAACCGUAAAAUUGCAGUUGAAACUGGCAGGCUGGAGUACAGUAGAGGUGGGCGGAAUUCGUGGUGUAGCGGUGAAAUGCUUAGAUAUCACGAAGAACUCCGAUUGCGAAGGCAGCUCACUGGACUGCAACUGACACUGAGGCUCGAAAGUGUGGGUAUCAAACAGGAUUAGAUACCCGUGUAGUC
RNAcentral lists this ribosomal RNA (460 nucleotides) under uncultured bacterium. RNAcentral describes it as "partial 16S ribosomal RNA". It matches the Rfam family "Bacterial small subunit ribosomal RNA", at positions 338 to 795 of the family's 1533-position model. The record is from RNAcentral.